CAGUAGCCGCGGUAAAACGGAGGGUGCAAGCGUUAAUCGGAAUUACUGGGCGUAAAGCGCACGCAGGCGGUCUGUCAAGUCAGAUGUGAAAUCCCCGGGCUUAACCUGGGAACUGCAUUUGAAACUGGCAGGCUAGAGUCUUGUAGAGGGGGGUAGAAUUCCAGGUGUAGCGGUGAAAUGCGUAGAGAUCUGGAGGAAUACCGGUGGCGAAGGCGGCCCCCUGGACAAAGACUGACGCUCAGGUGCGAAAGCGUGGGGAGCAAACAGGAUUAGAUACCCCGGUAGUCCCUGUCUCUUAUAA
Molecule: ribosomal RNA, 301 nt
Filed under: uncultured bacterium
Lineage: Bacteria
Description: partial 16S ribosomal RNA
Rfam family: Bacterial small subunit ribosomal RNA
Source: RNAcentral